UGCAAGUAGAACGCUGAAGAGAGGAGCUUGCUCUUCUUGGAUGAGUUGCGAACGGGUGAGUAACGCGUAGGUAACCUGCCUUGUAGCGGGGGAUAACUAUUGGAAACGAUAGCUAAUACCGCAUAACAAUGGAUGACACAUGUCAUUUAUUUGAAAGGGGCAAUUGCUCCACUACAAGAUGGACCUGCGUUGUAUUAGCUAGUAGGUGAGGUAAUGGCUCACCUAGGCGACGAUACAUAGCCGACCUGAGAGGGUGAUCGGCCACACUGGGACUGAGACACGGCCCAGACUCCUACGGGAGGCAGCAGUAGGGAAUCUUCGGCAAUGGGGGCAACCCUGACCGAGCAACGCCGCGUGAGUGAAGAAGGUUUUCGGAUCGUAAAGCUCUGUUGUAAGUCAAGAACGGGUGUGAGAGUGGAAAGUUCACACUGUGACGGUAGCUUACCAGAAAGGGACGGCUAACUACGUGCCAGCAGCCGCGGUAAUACGUAGGUCCCGAGCGUUGUCCGGAUUUAUUGGGCGUAAAGCGAGCGCAGGCGGUUUGAUAAGUCUGAAGUUAAAGGCUGUGGCUCAACCAUAGUUCGCUUUGGAAACUGUCAAACUUGAGUGCAGAAGGGGAGAGUGGAAUUCCAUGUGUAGCGGUGAAAUGCGUAGAUAUAUGGAGGAACACCGGUGGCGAAAGCGGCUCUCUGGUCUGUAACUGACGCUGAGGCUCGAAAGCGUGGGGAGCGAACAGGAUUAGAUACCCUGGUAGUCCACGCCGUAAACGAUGAGUGCUAGGUGUUGGAUCCUUUCCGGGAUUCAGUGCCGCAGCUAACGCAUUAAGCACUCCGCCUGGGGAGUACGACCGCAAGGUUGAAACUCAAAGGAAUUGACGGGGGCCCGCACAAGCGGUGGAGCAUGUGGUUUAAUUCGAAGCAACGCGAAGAACCUUACCAGGUCUUGACAUCCCGAUGCUAUUUCUAGAGAUAGAAAGUUACUUCGGUACAUCGGUGACAGGUGGUGCAUGGUUGUCGUCAGCUCGUGUCGUGAGAUGUUGGGUUAAGUCCCGCAACGAGCGCAACCCCUAUUGUUAGUUGCCAUCAUUCAGUUGGGCACUCUAGCGAGACUGCCGGUAAUAAACCGGAGGAAGGUGGGGAUGACGUCAAAUCAUCAUGCCCCUUAUGACCUGGGCUACACACGUGCUACAAUGGUUGGUACAACGAGUUGCGAGUCGGUGACGGCGAGCUAAUCUCUUAAAGCCAAUCUCAGUUCGGAUUGUAGGCUGCAACUCGCCUACAUGAAGUCGGAAUCGCUAGUAAUCGCGGAUCAGCACGCCGCGGUGAAUACGUUCCCGGGCCUUGUACACACCGCCCGUCACACCACGAGAGUUUGUAACACCCGAAGUCGGUGAGGUAACCUUUUGGAG
RNAcentral lists this ribosomal RNA (1408 nucleotides) under Streptococcus thermophilus. RNAcentral describes it as "16S ribosomal RNA". It matches the Rfam family "Bacterial small subunit ribosomal RNA". The record is from RNAcentral. Lineage: Bacteria; Bacillati; Bacillota; Bacilli; Lactobacillales; Streptococcaceae.